Molecule: long non-coding RNA, 1857 nt
Filed under: Homo sapiens (human)
Lineage: Eukaryota; Metazoa; Chordata; Mammalia; Primates; Hominidae
Description: non-protein coding lnc-PLEKHG4-1:2
Source: RNAcentral
GUGUGUGUGUGUGUGUGUGUGUGUGUGUGUGUAUGUGGUGUUUAUGUAUAAGAUUGGUCAAUGGGUUCAGUCCAAUCGGUUCAUGUGUAGUCUGUUUUUUAAAAAUCUGGAAUAAGUUUGUGUGUAUCCUGUUAAAUGUCAUCUUAUUUGCUUUAGCCCAUCAUCCCAUUGUUUGGUUCCCAUGUCUGCCACCAAAUGUCUCCUUCUUAGAUUCAUAUCAUCUGAAAAUUUGUUAAGCCUGUUAACUUUGUAUUCAUCCAAAUCCACAUAAACAUGUUGAACAGGAUAGAGCUGAGGACAGAGCCCUGUGGCAUGCUACUAAAGACUUUCCUCCAGACUGACAUGGAUCAAGCAUUUUUGGGGUAUGGUAACUCAACCAGUUCUGAAUCCACUUAGUAUGAUAACACAAUCCACAAUUUCUCAUGUUCUUCAUCGAAAUAUCAUUAGAGAGAGACAGAGAUAUCUAGUUUUCAGUUAGAAAGAUAAGAUUAUAGUUUAAUAGAGAGAUAAGGGCUGGAGAGAAAUUUGGAAGCAAUCUGUAUCAGGUUUUGUCACCUGGCUACCACAGAAUCCCCUGGGGAACUUCCUGGCUUCACCUGGAGAUUCUGAUUCUGUAGUCUGGAGUGGGACUAAGAAUCUGUGUUCUUACUAAGUUCCCCAGGUGAUUCAAAUGCAGCUGGUCUGAUGACUGAUGUUGGGGGACCACAGAUCUGUAUCACUGGGAUAGCUGGGGCAGAGAGAAUGGAUAAGUUCUCUGAGGAGAGUGUUUCAUGGGGCGGGAGGAGGGCUAAGGAUAACACUGAGGAGUGCGCAUGGGAGAAAAGGAAAGAGAGCCAAAGACAAGGAACCCUUGGAGAAGCAGUGGCAGGUGGUGCCUCAGGCCUGGGGCAGAAAGAGGGCUGGAUGCUGCGCAGAGGCCUGGCCAGCACCUAGGCAGAGCCCACAGCACUGGUGACCAGCAAGAAGGCAGCACUGUGGAGUUGUGGACCCUGGAGUUGCAUUUCUGGUUUUUAAGGAAAUAGUGGGUAGGAGAGAAAGUGUCAGAAUCAAAUUAUAAAAGUGUAGCAGCAAAAGGGAGACAAUGGUGUUCAAGGGAAGACUUUCUUUAAGGAGGCAAGGGCAGGAGCUUGAAAACAGAGGGGAGGGAGCCAAGUGGUGAGGUAAGGAGUGAAGAUACAGGAGAGUGGAGGAAUAGGAGGCAGCAGGAACUGCUGGAGGCAGGAAGGAGGGAACUGAGCAAUGUGGAGGCCGGGGCUGGGCAGCAAUGAGCCUUGUGAAGGAGAUGGACCCCUUCUCCCCAGGAGAGAGGGUACCUCCUGGUGCAUAGGUAGAUGAGGAGGGCAGAUGGAAGACUUGAAGGGGGCUCUUAGAACUGGUUCAGGGAAGCAGAAAAUAUGAGAUAAAGGGACCAGACUUGGGAUUUGAGGCAAGAUAAGAUGAUUUGGCAGGCACUGGGAAGCAUUUCAGGGGAUUACCACUAGAUGAUGAAAAGGUGCUAAGCAAGGAGGGUAGAGGCAGAGGCAGUCUAGGUGAGUGUGUAGCGGGCUUGGUGUUGAUAAGAGUUAAAAAGAGCAUGGCCAGGCGCAGUGGCUCAUGCCUGUAAUCCCAGGACUUUGGGAGGCCAAGGCAGGCAGAUCACUUGAGGUCAGGAGUUCGAGACUAGCCUGGCAACAUGGUGAAACCCUGUCUCUACUAAAAAUACAAAAAUUGGCCGGGUGUGAUGGCAGGCACCUGUAAUCCCAGCUACUCGGGAGGCUGAGGCAGGAGAAUUGCUUGAACCCCAGAGGCGGGGGUUGCAGUGAGCAGAGAUCGUGCCAUUGCACUCCAGCCUGGGUGACAAGAGCAAAACUCCGUCUC